This 520-nucleotide ribosomal RNA is filed under the name uncultured bacterium. Its description in RNAcentral is "bacterial SSU rRNA". It matches the Rfam family "Archaeal small subunit ribosomal RNA", at positions 345 to 866 of the family's 1478-position model. The record is from RNAcentral.
AACCUCCGCAAUGUGAGAAAUCGCGACGGGGGGAUCCCAAGUGCCAUUCUUAACGGGAUGGCUUUUCAUUAGUGUAAAGAGCUUUUGGAAUAAGGGCUGGGCAAGACCGGUGCCAGCCGCCGCGGUAACACCGGCAGCUCUAGUGGUAGCAGUUUUUAUUGGGCCUAAAGCGUCCGUAGCCGGUUUAAUAAGUCUCUGGUGAAAUCCUGUAGCUUAACUGUGGGAAUUGCUGGAGAUACUAUUAGACUUGAGACCGGGAGAGGUUAGAGGUACUCCCAGGGUAGAGGUGAAAUUCUGUAAUCCUGGGAGGACCGCCUGUUGCGAAGGCGUCUAACUGGAACGGUUCUGACGGUGAGGGACGAAAGUUAGGGGCGCGAACCGGAUUAGAUACCCGGGUAGUCCUAACUGUAACGAUGCGGACUUGGUGUUGGGGUGGCUUUGAGCUGUCUCAGUGCCGAAGGGAAGCUGUUAAGUCCGCCGCCUGGGAAGUACGGUCGCAAGACUGAAACUUAAAGGAAGU